GGGGUGUGUAGGUGCGUGUGCCGUUGCAAAGAAUGCAUCUUCCUGCUCCGGCCGGCUGGGAAAAGGAAAUUGACGGCAACAGAGACAGGACCUGGAAGCAACUUUGGAUGCUUUCUACACAGAGGAGGAAUGUCCAAAACACAUUUGAAAGCUAAACGUCUUCCUGUCCUCUUGGAAUGACAUCUUUGUCACGUUCUGGAUCCCCUCCUUUAUGUCAUGGGAUGGAGACAGCAGCGAUGCAAUCACCGCAGGUGGUGACCCUCCGGAAUGCUGAAGAGACGGCUCGAAAC
This is a long non-coding RNA of Gekko japonicus, 290 nucleotides long. RefSeq lists it as uncharacterized. Lineage: Eukaryota; Metazoa; Chordata; Lepidosauria; Squamata; Gekkonidae. The transcript has 3 exons. The record is from RefSeq and is a predicted model, not a curated record.